Molecule: unclassified non-coding RNA, 101 nt
Organism: Mustela putorius furo (domestic ferret)
Lineage: Eukaryota; Metazoa; Chordata; Mammalia; Carnivora; Mustelidae
Rfam family: Y RNA
About the family: Y RNAs are components of the Ro ribonucleoprotein particle (Ro RNP), in association with Ro60 and La proteins. The Y RNAs and Ro60 and La proteins are well conserved, but the function of the Ro RNP is not known. In humans the RNA component can be one of four small RNAs -- hY1, hY3, hY4 and hY5.
Source: Ensembl
GGCUGGUCCAAGUGCAGUGGUGUUUACAAUUAAUUGAUCGCAGCCAAUUACACAUUUAUUCCUUCCUUCUCCGCUCCUACUGAUUCAUUUGACUAGCGGAA